CCCACAUUCCUUUCUUCUGUUUAUUCAUUUGACAGAUACCUACUGAGUUCCCGCUCUGUGUGAGGUCGGGGGUGGAGUCUGGGGAGAAGGAAAUAAGCCAGGAACCUGCGUUUGCCGAUGUGAUGGUGUGAAGUGGUGACUGGCCUGAGGGCCCCUCCUUAUGGGAUUAGUGCCCCCAGAAAGAGCCUUAUCGGGGGUCUGUCCCUCCCGCCAUUGCCUCCUGAGGACCCGCAUUUCUCCCUCCAGGGGACACUGCACGCCAGGCACCGUCUUGGGUAGAGAGCAGCCCUCACCAAAUGCGGGUGCCUUGGCCUUGGACUUUCAGCCCCCAGCACUGUGAGAAGUUCUCUCUCCUUUGGGACCAAGGUGGAGUCUUGCUUCUCCGUGGGCAUGUGAGGGUGAGUGAAACCACGACACUUCUCUGCAUGGUGCUCGUCUGUGUUCUCCGGAGAGGCCGCUACUUGCCGGGGCCCUACAAUCAGGACGAUGAUGACGGAUGCCGGCUCCCACCAGCGAGGUCACGUGUCCAGGCCGUGAUGUCGUGAAGGCUGGGAGAUGCUGGCACCGCUCACCGGGGUGGUAAACUCUCUGCUGCAACAGGGUCUACCCUCAUCAGCUGGGCCUCAUCUUAACCAACUCCACCUGCAAAGGCCCUGUUUCCAGAUGAGGCCGCAGCCUGAGGUUCUGGGUGGACACCAUUCUACCCAGUACCACCCUCUGACCUGUGGGAGGAGCCCAGGCCUGCCGGGAGGCGGGUGCACACUCACAGAACGUGCAGCGCAGGUGUGCACUCUAGAGCCCACCUCAGUGCUGAGGUCGACGUCACCCCCGGGCUCUUGGGCCGUGGCCAACGGCAGGCCAUCUGCGAGAACAGAGACGAGGGCUUGGAUCAGUUUCUGUCUGAGUUGGCGCCUUCCCAGGCUGGCUGUUGGCUCUGCUCCCUUCUGGGACCUGUUGGGAUGAGCAGAUCAGGGAGUAUUUUGAGCCGAAAGGUACGUGGGGAAACUGGGACUGACAGCGAAUUCCCUGUCUGCGUUUGCCCACAUGAGUUUUUCUUUGUGCUCUUGUGCUCUCAGGAAUUCAGCCUCUGAAUCCCUCCUGGGCCUGGGGUGGAGCAGGGUGAACACAUACGGAAGCGUAAACACAGCGGGCCGACUUCAGCCUGCAGCUCAGCCCUGCGGUCUCCUGGGCAACGCGCUGCGUGGGGACAUUGUCUCUCACCUGAAAAGCUGCUUACGGGCCCCCACCUCGUCGUGGGUUUAAAGCGGAUUAAUGGGAGGGUUGGUGGUUCUGGGGCUGGCAGGGCUUCCCAGCAGGGGCAGCCCCUUCAUGUGGUGGCGAGCUUGGUAGUGACAACAGGCAGGCCGCUGUGCCCCGGGUGGGUGGCUGGAGCUGGGCGUGGGGUGUCUCCCCGUGAGGACUGUCUGCCCUGCCCGCUGCUCACAAGCCUUCUGCGUUUCCCACCACGCUCUCCUCACCUUCUACUGGGAGGAAGGUCCCAGGGCACGGGAGGGACCCUGUCUAGAGUGGAGCUGGGCUGCCCCAUCUCAGGUCAUGGGUCACGGCUGCCCCAUCUCAGGUGACGGCAGCCCCCUUCAGGUGAAGGCCAAGGCGCGGCUCUUCUCCUCCCAGCCUGAAGCAGAUCCUGUUGUCUGCAAGUACCCAGCAUCCGAUGGCUUCUCACGGCCUCCACCCCGGCCACCUGGUCCGAGACACUGCUGUCUCCGGCCUGGACUGGUGCAGUAGCCAGCAGCUGCUGCUCUCGCCCUCUAUGGGGCAGCCUCACACGGCCCGUGGUGCCCCUGCUGGUGCUCAGUCCUUGUGCGCUCCCUCCCUUGAGCAUGUGCGGGACCUGUGGUUUAUCUCAAAUGAAUAGAAAAUGGCAAAAGCAAUGGGGUGUCACUUCCAAAUCUGGUCGCGGAAAGACCCUGGUCUAUCUUGCUCAUCCCUCUCACCCUCUCCCACGGUCUGGUGAAACCAGUGGCUGUGCCGAGAGCUGCCAUGGGGCAAGAGACUGAGGGCGGCUUCCAGCUAAACGCCAGUGAGGAGCUGAGGCCCUGAAGAACUGAAUCCCGCCCAGAACUACAUGCCUGAGCUCGGAGCCAUUUCUUCCCCAUGGGAGAUGAGACCCCUGCCCAGCUGAGUCCGGAUUGCAGCCUGUGAGACCCUGAGCCUGCGGAUCCAGCCAAGCCAUACCUGAUCCUUGAUCUAAGGAAAAUGGGAGCUGAUAAGUGUGUGCUGUUUUCAGCUGCCAAGUGUGGGACCCUUUGUGAUGCUGGAGUCAGUAGAUGCCGCAGGCUCACCCCGCCCUCUCCUCCCAGCCAGCAUGAUUAUGUCAAGACCAGAUCAGCUCACAGCACUUCCCUGCUCAUGGCUCCUAGUGUCUCAACAGCCCCAGGCCCUGCCCCAUUUGUCACCUCCCAGCCACCCACCCCAGGCCCUGCACUGUUCGUCACCCCCUGGCCACUGCCUGCUCCCCAGGCCUGCCCUGUUCAUCACCCCCCCAACAGGCCUUGAACCAUUCAUCACCCCCCGGCCACCAGCCCCAG
RNAcentral lists this long non-coding RNA (2549 nucleotides) under Homo sapiens (human). Its description in RNAcentral is "HSALNT0371926". Lineage: Eukaryota; Metazoa; Chordata; Mammalia; Primates; Hominidae. The record is from RNAcentral.